UGAAGAUGGAGUUCCGCAGGAGGAGUUUUCGGCGUACAAUCGACCGACAGAUGGACGUACGGACGGACGAAUCGGCUAGCCAUAUACAGCUUCGCUGUAAAUGUUGCCCGAUCCUGCUGGUGGAGUCAUCAAAAUUCGGUCAAUUCCUGCAUAGUCAUCGUAUACAGGCUGGGGCUAUUCGUCAACAACUUACCCAAGUAAUCGCAGGAAGCCUCGUUCAGGGGCUGCCUCACAAAUAGCGCUGCACCAUCUCGUACCCGUUACCAAAAGCCAAGAGUUGUCAUCUCAACGAAUAAUUCAGAGGCGCCCAUCGACCUUAUUAUUUCUUUUUUGCUUGCUUCUUUGAGAGGAUGGGGGAGUUUCAAUAUGCGGUGACUAGAGUAAUUUAUACAGCCAUUUUUAAAAUAAACCUAUGACUAUAAACGGUG
Molecule: long non-coding RNA, 428 nt
Organism: Dermacentor andersoni
Lineage: Eukaryota; Metazoa; Arthropoda; Arachnida; Ixodida; Ixodidae
Source: RefSeq, a predicted model, not a curated record